GUGGGGAAUAUUGGACAAUGGGCGAAAGCCUGAUCCAGCAAUGCCGCGUGAGUGAUGAAGGCCCUAGGGUUGUAAAGCUCUUUUACCCGGGAUGAUAAUGACAGUACCGGGAGAAUAAGCUCCGGCUAACUUCGUGCCAGCAGCCGCGGUAAUACGAGGGGAGCUAGCGUUGUUCGGAAUUACUGGGCGUAAAGCGCGCGUAGGCGGAUUUUUAAGUCAGAGGUAAAAGCCCGGGGCUCAACACCGGAAUUGCCUUUGAAACUGGAAAACUAGAAUCUUGGAGAGGUCAGUGGAAUUCCGAGUGUAGAGGUGAAAUUCGUAGAUAUUCGGAAGAACACCAGUGGCGAAGGCGACUGACUGGACAAGUAUUGACGCUGAGGUGCGAAAGCGUGGGGAGCAAACAGGAUUAGAUACCCGGGUAGUCC
Molecule: ribosomal RNA, 425 nt
Filed under: uncultured bacterium
Lineage: Bacteria
Description: partial 16S ribosomal RNA
Rfam family: Bacterial small subunit ribosomal RNA
Source: RNAcentral